UUGGGCUGCACACGUGCUACAAUGGCCGGUACAAUGAGCUGCGAUACCGUGAGGUGGAGCGAAUCUCAAAAAGCCGGUCUCAGUUCGGAUUGGGGUCUGCAACUCGACCCCAUGAAGUCGGAGUCGCUAGUAAUCGCAGAUCAGCAUUGCUGCGGUGAAUACGUUCCCGGGCCUUGUACACACCGCCCGUCACGUCACGAAAGUCGGUAACACCCGAAGCCGGUGGCCCAACCCCUUGUGGGAGGGAGCUGUCGAAGGUGGGACCAGCGAUUGGGACGAAGUCGUAACAAGGUAGCCGUACCGGAAGGUGCGGCUGGAUCACCUCCUUUCUA
RNAcentral lists this ribosomal RNA (332 nucleotides) under Streptomyces sp. SID4946. RNAcentral's name for it is "bacterial SSU rRNA". It matches the Rfam family "Bacterial small subunit ribosomal RNA", at positions 1209 to 1533 of the family's 1533-position model. The record is from RNAcentral. Lineage: Bacteria; Bacillati; Actinomycetota; Actinomycetes; Kitasatosporales; Streptomycetaceae.